This is a non-coding RNA of Taeniopygia guttata (zebra finch), 10041 nucleotides long. Lineage: Eukaryota; Metazoa; Chordata; Aves; Passeriformes; Estrildidae. The record is from RefSeq and is a predicted model, not a curated record.
AAGCUGUUACUUCAGAUGAAAGUUUUCCAGAGGAAAGACUUUGAGACUUUGUUCUCCCAAAACAUGGCAUAGGAUUCUUCUCCAUGGAAGAAUUCCUUCUGCUUGAAAUGGGCUUUGCUUCCCAAAGCAGCAGUGGGAUGGUGUAGCUUUAUUCUGUGCUCACUGAAGUCAGUAGGAUGUCUUGGAAGUCUACAGAACAGCAUCAGCCUCAUGGGGAACUUUAUAACCUGUCAGAAGCCUUUUCUACAGCACAGCCUUAGCUGCAAAUUUUUCUUUGCAUCAAACACACAGUGACCAGGUCAUCUAAAUGUAUUGGAAAUCUUUGGAGCUGCAAAAGGACUCAGUGGGCUUUGAAUUACUUCCAAAGGCCUUCAAGCCUCUUUCUACAGUUAAACUUGCCCUUGAAGCUCUGCAAAUGUGUUGUAUUAAUUUUUCAUUAAAGUUCCUUUGUUUUGUUGUGUAUAGCGUACAAAAAAUGAAAAUAUGUUUUCCUUACAGAUGCUGUUCUUAAAUAGAAAGGGCAUAUGAGAAGAAAGUACAUAUGAAUAUAUUGGUGGAAACUAUACAAAAGACUACAAAAAAAAUAAACACUGCAUUCAGAUUAAUAUGCUGGAGAAAAAUCAGCAAAACCUCUAGAUCUGGUGUGGUAUUUCACAAAGUUGCUGGAGAUGCUAGAGGUCAAUGGGCAAGGGUCACCCAGUGUUUACAAAAAACCAAGCAGUUGAAACCAAUGAAGUCUCCAGCUUUUGAUGAUUGACUGAUUCUGCUGAGCUGGCUACUGAAAGCAGAGUGUGAGCUGGAAAGUCUGAUUGACAUGUGUGAUACAGGCUUCUGAGCUCCUUCACCAGCAGCCCUUGGAGCAGCCUUGUGGCAGGAGUGGAGCAAAUGAGGAACACUUAACUGGGGAAGCAAACUUAUGCUCAAGCAGAGAAGGAGUUUUUUCACAUUGUUAUUAGAUGUCAGAAAAUUUACCCGUGUUCUUUCAGAAGCAGCCAAAAGCACCAGCCCCCUUACCCCUACCCCCCAGGCGAAAGUGACAUUAGUAACAGUAAGAAAACUUUCCAUAUUUAUUUGUGAGACAAAUGAAAAUCAUAAUGUGUCUACAAGAGCUUUGAAGUGAGACACAAUGAUAGGACAUCAAGGAAAACUAUCUGGACGAGCUCUGGACAGGUAGAUUGUAUAAACAAUUCCUGGAAAAUAUUCUUAAGGAAGGUUUGGUACCCCUACUGCCAAAAUUUCUGAGAGAAAACCUUUCUCUGUGAGAAAAAAAUAUGGGAAAAUAUAGCUUGUAAUUGAAUGUAAAAUUGGAGGCUUACAUUACUUUUUGUCAAACAGGUCUUGCUUUGUUUCAGAGUAUGAGAUGUAGGACCAGGCACAGCCAAUAUAUAGCAUAAUCUACAAAUUAUCCCUCAGAUACAGAGGGCAGUAAUAUAAUGUUUUAAGAAAAAAAAAUCUUCUGGAUAGCUGAUAGAAAACUUAAUCAAUUUUUACAGACAUCUAAAAUAAAACCAGAGAAUUAUCUGCAGGAAGUGAACUAGUCCUACAAGAAAAGGAAACAGUUCUUUUGAAGAAAAUGUGGAAAUUUGAGAAAAAUCCCACAGAACUCAUGCUGAUAUUGUGCUGACCAAAAAACAUGCAAGAAUAAUUGCAAAAAGAAUUAGAAUUCAACACAAGGCAGAAACAGAAGAAAAAAAUACUUUUAUUGUACAGAGACUAUUAAGGAUAAACUUACAAUAAGUGUAAUUUCUUAAUAAGUUUUUACACAGUAAGUGUAAAAACUUACAAUUUGUGCUAAUUUCCGAGGCAGAGCCUGAAAACAUUUGCCAAUGGAAUUAUUCAAACAGAGAGGUGACCAUGACCUGCUUGCAGCAACUAUUGCACCAGUUUUAUUAAUGAAAUUCAGCUAAAUAGUUCGUCAGCAAGGCAAUUAAUAACAACAGGAUAGCAUUAGACAGCAACAUUUAUGAUAAAGUUUUUUCAUAUAACAGAACACAUGAAAUAUCCCAGAAUUUCAGAUAUUUGAAAGGUAUGGGGGUCUCGUAGAUGCCUUUGCAGCCUGUAUUAUUUGGAGAUCAAUAGACUUGGAAAACUAUGUUGAAACAGCAAAACAAACAUUAAGGCACAUGAACAUGAUUAAGACCCUAUCUUGGUUUACUUCACUAUAAAACCACACCUCUGCACCCGAGAGCCUCAGUCACAUGUGCAGUAUGGAACCAGGAAGAUCACUUUGGCAAAAAGAAAUUUGAGGGUGUUCUCAUGAACUCAACCACCUCUUAUUAUAGGACUGUGAACUGUGACAACAAAAGUGGUGAGGGUAAAGAAAUGUAACUGUCUAGCAAACCUUUAGGUCCAACCACCAAGCAGAGACAAAGAGGCCUCUCAUUUGCAGACAAUGAAAACACAAACCAGCAAAAGAUAUAAAAACUGUGGUUCAAGUCAAAGAAGCCACAUUCACUCCAGAUAAAAAGAUAUUCCAAGCAGGAUUACCAUCCUUCUGUUUUCUCAUGAACACAAAUUACUUCUGACUUAGAAAUUGUCUGGCACAAUAUAGAGAAACUGUGUAUUUAUCUAAGAUUUGGAGGUAUGCAGCAACCCUUUUUCUGGGAAAUCUGACAAUUGUGCAACGGCAGUGAGCAUGUGCAGUUGUGAGGAGAGGUGUGGCAUACAUUAGAAACCUUGGACAUUCAUAACACAUUGGAGAUUGUGGCUCCAUGUGUAGAGCAGGCUUAAUGUUUCUCCAAGAAGCACAGCUGUACAUGUACAAUUUGAUGGCACAGCCCAGAAAUUCCAGUUCCAUUCUUCAGGUGAAGCACAGAUUACUUCUGUGCACAGUGACUCAACAGUGACAGUGCACUACUCCAAUUCUAAUAUGGGUAAGAGCAGUUUCAUCUAGCUCUGCACCUUGUUUCCAACAGUGACGACCAAGUAAGUUUUCUGAGAAGGUUAUAAGGGCCCUCUAGAAGCCCUUCCCAAAAUACAUGUUGAGUGUCUGCUGAUCAGUAAUUCUGUGACUUCCUGAACUAUUUGAUGUGGGUUUGUAUUGAAUAGUCCUAGAUCUCUUUUUGUUCCAUGAAUUUAUCAAAAUCUUAUUUUGAAUUCAGGUACAGUUUCAACAUCCACAAUGUCCUGGCACAAGUUCUGUUGGUUAAUGAUGUGAUGAGUGAAGACACAGGUCCUUUUGUUUGCCUUCUGGCUUCAUUUGAUAUCUUCUAGAUUUUGAGCUGAAAGAAACAGUUAUUUCCUACUUACCUUAUUCAGGCCACUCCUGAUUUUACUGUUUUCUAGUAUAUUAUUUAUUUUUGCAAACAAAACCUUUAAUCUAUUUUAUUGUUCAUCUUGUAAUCACUCCAUAUCUUUAAUCAUACUUGUUGCACUUAUCUGUAUCUUUUACAGGACUUCUAUAUCUGUCUUCAGAUGGACACAUAACUAUAAACACUGCUGAAGAUAUGGAUAUGUAAUGUAUUUAUACAACAGAAAAAUAAUAUUUUAUAUUCUUGAUUCCUUUUGUAGUGAUUUUUAGCAAUGUUUGUCCUCAUUUUACAUUCCUCCACAGUGAAUUUUUUGUUGCCUAGUCAUUACAUGGUAGGAAAGUCUUAUGUGAUGUCUGCAAUCAGCCAGAGUCUGUAUCACUGACUAAUUCAGUGCCAUCAGCAAAUAUUUUCAUCCUUUUUUGACACUGUUUUCUGAUCCCUUGUGAUCUGUGUUGAGCAAUUCAGACUUCAGCACAAAGCCAUGUGGGACUCCAUGUGUGAUCUCUUUCUACUUUAAGAGUCAACUAAUACUUUACUUAAUUUCUUCCCAUCUUCUGAACAUUUCUUCAUGUCUGAUUAGCUUCCUCAAGAGCCUCAAGAGAGGCAACUUUUUAAGUGCCUUCUGGAAAUCCAGACAGAUGGUAUCAAACAUAUUUGUGCUGCCAAUGUUUUAUUGACAUAUCAGAGAACUUUGGUAGAUAGGAGAAGCACAACUUCUCUUUAGAAAAACCAUGCUGGCUCUUUCUCAUUGUACCAUAUUUAUCCUGAUGUCUACCAAUUCUGUUGCUUAUUAUUGUUUCUUCUGUUUGAAUCAGGGUAUUAGUUCUGAGUAUUGAAGGUCUGCCCUGCAGUCCUGCUUAAAAACUGGUAUGAGGGCAGUGAGCAAUAAGUUUAGCAAUGGCUUCUCUGGGCUGUCUCUAAAGGGAGAUGAAUUAAAUGGAUACACAAUUAAGCAGCUGGAUUCCUGCCCUUGAAUUGCAUGCAGGAGACACCCCCAAGAUGCUGUGCCCAUGCUCUGGCAUGGGCUGAGCAGUGCUGCUGGGAUCACUGCAUUUGAGAAGCUUCUUAAUCAAAAUCCUGCUGAGUGUUUGCUCUCCUGUAGAUCUCCAUUUCUGUGAGCAGUAUAGAAGACAACCAUUCAUGUUUCAUUUAGAAUGAAGCAAAGCAAAACCAAAAAACAACUCAUGGCAACAUGUAGAUUUGCAUUUAACCAGAGAUCAGGCUUUUCAGGAAUGGUGAAUUUUGCUGAGCAUAUUAAAAGGCUGUUUAUUUGGUAAUACCUGUUUUACAGAAUGUGACUGUCGACUUGACUGGAUUUGUAUAAUGCAAGUAAAGGCUAAAAUUAAAAGCAGAUUUAAACUGUGAGUACAGAUAAGUUUGUGAGCAUUCCACUUUAGCAGUUGUCUAUGGACCUCAGAAUAUUUUGACUUUCUCUGGUUUUGUAUUUACUAUUCAAAGCAUUCAGACACACUAUUACCUACUCAAUGACUGCCAGAUAGAUUAUGGGAAAAAUGGUGUGCUUUACUAUGUUAAAUGCUCCUUGGUUGUUGGUUGUAUGGGAGAAAGAUAAUGUAAUCCAAAGAGUUGCUAAUGGAUUCUGCAGGUAUUUCCAAUAAGAUAGGCUGUAUGUACAUAUAGCAGAUUUGAUCAAUUAAAUGUUUGUCAACUAUAUGUCUUGUUCCAGGAGACUUCCUGGCUACUCAGCAAAUAUAUCCUUCCAACACACUGACACCAUACUAAUUUGUAAAAAAUACUAAUGGUUCAGGCAGUGUGUCUUUCACAGGGCUGUAACUUCAAAAAACAUUAGUGAAAGAAAUUUGCCUUAUUAUUUUUAUACAUUGCCUGUGAUUAUUGCUGUCAUAAAUUAGAAAUACUCAGGUGUGUUUUCUGCCAUGCAUGCUUUCGAUCUGCUUGAUGCUGUCUGUAAUGAAAGGCACAACUUUUAUCUUUGUUCCUCUGCCCACAUGCUUAUGCCAUUGUUUCCUUGAUAUUAAUAAUUUACAUCCUGUUAAAUUCUUUGACACAAAUACUUUGAAAAUGCUCAGUAUGUGCUAUAAUACCUCAUGGCAAUUUUUUUUAUCUUGCUAAUUUUGUUUCUGAAGUUACAUCAGUAAAGGAGGGAAAGCCAUUCUCCAUUUGUAAACACAAAGUCCCUGGACAAUACUGCCCAGGGACUUAGUGUUUACAACCAUCCAGAAGGCAAUAAGCGUGAAUUUUGCAUUUUGAUUGAGAUGGUUAAUGCUGAUGUGAAAACAACAAACCCCUCCAUGUUUGCAGAAGACUGACUACUGACUGUGCAUCUGGCAAUGUAAAAGGUAUAUAAUUUUUUCCAUGUACAGAGAAUAUGUUGCACUUAGAAAAUAGAACCAAAUAGAAUGGUUUCUGACUCUAAUCAUGUAGAGUUUCUUCUGUGAUGAGUAGAAAUUGAUGCUUACCAGAAGUAUAAAUUGGUAGAACAACCAGGAACAGUAAAACAGUAGGCAGCUUCAAAGUUAAAUAAUUAACCAGCAAACAUACAUGCAAUCAAUACUGCAAGCAAGUUCUGUUAAUGCUGAGGUCUUAGCCCUUUCAAGAGUGCAUUUAUUCGAGCAAUUACUGCAUUUUUAUACAUAAGAGCUAAAUAAAAGGAGAAAAAAAGAUAAUUUUAAAAGAGCUUGAUAUUAAUUUUCUUCAAUAAGGGAUGCUGAAAUAUAACAGCUGCAUUGUACUUUACCCUCAUUCUUUGUGCAGAUUUCUUUUUAUCACAGCUGAAUCAUUCUUGUCUUCCUCUUUCUAUUUUAGUUCAUAUUUACAGAUUUUAUAAUCCACUUUAGUUUGCUAUGAAGCUAAGAAGCCCAAAGUCUGUACUAUGAAAAUGGAACAGUUUAAACUACUGGAAGUUGCAUGCUAGUAUUUUUGGUUUUCUGGAUUUGUUUGUUUUGCAAGUGGAAUUUCUCAGAAUUCAGUCAUGACCACAGGAUCAUUCAAUGGUACUAUUAAUCACCUUCAUUAAUUAUCAAAAUAAGAAUAUGCUAAUGAACUUUUUGGUGGCAAAAGGCUAAAGAAGGAAAAAGGCAGUCCUUGAAGACCUGAGGACCAGGAACAGGGUGGUAGUUAGAGCAAAAUCUAUUGCACUGGAGGGUAGUUCCAUUACAGGCCUUGUCACAGAGUUUGCAUUUACACCUUCUCAUCAAUUUCUAGACGGUGUAAAAAUCCUUUCCCCUCAGAGCAUGCGCAUGAAUAAGAACAUGCACCACCUCUACUAUAUGUGAUUCCUCUUUCUAAUGGCUAUCACUUAAAUUCUACCUCUGCCAUCCAGGAUAUCCUUUGUGUGUCUCCAGGUCAGAACUGUGACUCCUGAACCAAGAUGUUUGUCUUAUGGCCAAGUUUGUCUGGGCUUUUCUCCUUCCACAGCCUCCAAGUUUCUGGGGAAGUUCUACAUUCAGGGGAAGAAAAACUGAGCAUCUUAUUUAUUUACUUAUCCAGCAUUUCCUAUGGGCCUGAGGUGACAAGACUGGAUCAUAGGGAUGGAUUUCUCAAGAAAGAGCCCUCCUUGAAGGCUAGGUCAGUUGGCUUACUUGCAUUCUGGGUCCUAUUCCAGUGUUACAUUGUCUGUGGCAAUGCCAAAGCCUUGAUUAGCCUUGAUCAGUAGCUGAUAGCUUCAGGUAUUGCAAGACCACAAUUAGAUCACCCCAAAGCCUUCUCUUCUCCAGGUUGAAUAAACCAAAUUCUUUCAGCCUUUUCUUGUACAAGAGGUCUUCCAUCCCUCUAACCAUCUUGGUGGCCCUCUUCUGGACUCAUUCCAACAGGUCUAUGUCUUUCUUGGGCUGAGGACCUGAGAGCUGGAUGCAGUACUCCAGGUGGGAAUAAUGACAGCCACCCAUUAGAGAACCUUUGGCCAUUUCUUGCUGCUGUUCUUGGGCAGCAAGCAUCUCUCUGGGAAAUUACAUACAAAAAGCUUCUUCCUGUGUUUCCUUAUUUUCCUUCAGAAUUACAUCUACUCCUUCUGCCUUUUAGCCUUCAUCCUCAGCAUGCAGAUGCAGAGAUUAGGGAAUUUUUUCAAUAAUCUAGAAUUUGGCACGCACCUAAUCUUCCCCAUCCAAGAAAGACUGAUUCAUCAUAGAGAAUUUAUUUGACUCUCCUGCUAUGAGGAAGACCCUGUUAGAAAUGAUGAACAGUUUAUGACACCAGAAUAGGGCAAAAGCAUAACUUUUCUAGUAUAGUGAAACAAAGAUGGUUGUGAUGAAGAGAUAUUUUGUGCUGGAAAGAAUAUCCUUGAAAAAUUGAGGUUGAAAAUAAGAAAAACCUCCCAGUUAUAGCACCGAGGUUUUGGUAUAAUAUUCUUGUGUGGCCAGUGGAGGCAAAUAAUGUGAUUUAUUUGGAGAUGAAGCUUGACAGUGUUAUUAAUUGGAUUAUAUUCAGAUUUACCUGUGAUGGCAGGAACUUGGACUUGGUGACUUUUGCUGAUGUUUUCCAGUUCUUACCCUAUGUUCACCUAUUCCUAAAGUUGGAGAGCCUUUUAGCCUAAUUUCAACAGUCAGAGAAGUCAUAAGAAACUUCAGAUUACAGAGCAGCUCCCAGGUGAACUCCAUAUGAUGGUCUUGAGGACAGCAAUAGCAUUAGAUAAUACUCUUAUUUAAAAAAAACCCAGCUUCUCCUCACUCUGUGUGGGCUGAUUGAGAACUCCUUCUCAAAACGAGAUGGCUCAUCAGUUCUAGAUUUCACAGUCUGUAUUUAUUUAUUCUUAUGAUUACAUUGUCUUUUAGCUGAAGUAGAACUUUUUUCUCCUUGAUUUUUUUAAUUCAUUGAUAUACUUAUGGAUCAGUUGUAUCCCUUUUCGGUCUUCAUCUCCAAGUCUUUAUUAUUCUCUGGAAAGAGACUUUCCAUUGGCCUUUUCACACUAAUAGGCCCUCUGGAAGUUACUGCAAUCUCUUUACAAACAUAUUGAUAGAGCAAUACUAACACUCAUUGAUGAGUGUUAUUUGCAUUUUUCUAUUAGGUCUUGAAAAAAUUCAAGUUGGAAAAUGAGUUUACAGAGAGAAUUGGCUUCCCUACCUCUAUUUAAACUGUUUAUUUUUAGCUAAAUAUUACUGAAUAUGGAAGCAGUCCGGUUUACAUCCUGGUUUGAUUUCCUGUUUACAUGAGGCAGACUGGUGUCACCAUCGUAUUUCUGGACCACUCUGGAAGCUUGUGUGCAGCCUUCCUUCCACCUCCAAGGAGAGCUGCCCUACACAAUGGAACUAUUGUUGUGCUCUCUGAUAAUGAAAUAUGAAAUAUUGUUGAACACAGUAUAUGCUAGGUUUAUGUCACUUUGCUAUAGCACACAGAUAUAACAGCAAACCUUUCACUGAAAUGUGGGGAGAAAACUCACGUUAGAGAAUAAAGUCAUAACUGUACCCAUAGUUUUUUGAAGUUAACAUAUAAACAGAUCUGGUCAUAUAUAGGGUGGCUCUCUAUAGUAUAAUUUAUGUGGGCUUGAGGGGGAGGGGUGUCUUUAGUUUCAUUUUUUUUUCCCCUUCCCAUCUGGUUUUGCUUACUAUUUCCCUCAAGAGACUAUUAAAAAAAUUUUUUUUUUUUUAUUCUACAAAAUAGUUGAGAAUCUGAACUGGUCAUUAUGACUACUAAUGAUCAUAACAGCAGACAUUUCACAGGAGGGACUCAAGGAGCUCAGUUUCACCAGUCCAUCUAAUGCAUUAGCAGUCUCUGUCCUUGUUAUUAUUUUAAUAGAGUUUUCAAAAUAAAAUGGAAUAGUAUGUGCAUCCAGAGAAUGCUCAUACCAGGUAAAAGAGCAGUGUUUCACAAUUUUGGCUUAGAUUCUAUCAAGCAAAUUUUGUUUUAUUUUCAGUAAAGAUGCAUUUUAGAGAAGUGGGAAUACUUUAAUGUGUACUGAUGAAUGUAAAACUAGAGACAAACAAGUCUAAGAUUUUUUUUAAGGGUGAUAUAAAUACUGCUAUGCUAAUGGAUAAGAACCCUGAAACUGAACUGGUUAAUUCUGUUGUUCUCAAGGCUGAUUCUCAAUAACUGAAUAAGAUAAAUUAAGCAAAGCUCAUUCUGUUUAUAGUAACCUUUUGGAUUAGUCAAUGCAAAAUUCCAUACUAUGAUUAUUUUUUUACAAGGGAUACUGAAAACUUGAUUUUUAUUCAAUUACCCAUUUUAAAAUCACAUUUUGAAUGAGUCCCUCCCAUUAGAACAUCCAGAUUCUUUCCUGGUGUCUUUUAAACACACCAGUUUUUUUAGCAAUGCUCUUUUUGAUACUUGCAGGCAAAGGCUGGAGAGCACAGACACCUAGCAUGGCCUGUGCCCAGGCUUACCUUCUGCUGCUGCUAUUUCCAUUUCAGAUGUGCUGCGGCUGUGCCUGGGGAAUACCCUCGAGGAAAGCUUUGUCACAGGGAGGCAAAUGAGGUUCCCCAGGGCAGCCCACCAGUGCAGUGCUGCAGCAACCCACGCCCGGCUCAGGGGCACUGCCCAGGCACAAGGCAGGGCUCAGAAAUUCUGUGUCCAAUUUGAAUAGGUCAAAAGAUGCAGAUGGAAAAUGGUUCCUGAUUUUCCUGGUCUAAUAGCACAAAGCAGGUCUCCUACUGCAUAAAUAGUGACAUGUAUAAAUAACAGUCAUCAGGUCUCCCAGGGAAGGGUUUACAGUGAGGCUGUUGAACAACAGCUAUCUAAAGGGGACACAGCAAUUAAUUUGAAACCCAUAUGCUAUUUAUUUUAAUACUGUUAAAGACUUAUGGAAAUUCUUGAUUGUACUCUGAAACUUUUUUUUUUCCACUCACAAAAAUCAAAGUACUUUGAUCAAAAAUCUUUAAUUAAA